GAGGGUAUAGCUUAGUAGUAGAGGGCAUGCCUAGCAUGCAUAAGGUCCUGGGUUCAAUCCCAAGUACCACCA
Molecule: transfer RNA, 72 nt
Filed under: Camelus bactrianus (Bactrian camel)
Lineage: Eukaryota; Metazoa; Chordata; Mammalia; Artiodactyla; Camelidae
Also listed under: 2 other names
Rfam family: tRNA
About the family: Transfer RNA (tRNA) molecules are approximately 80 nucleotides in length. Their secondary structure includes four short double-helical elements and three loops (D, anti-codon, and T loops). Further hydrogen bonds mediate the characteristic L-shaped molecular structure. tRNAs have two regions of fundamental functional importance: the anti-codon, which is responsible for specific mRNA codon recognition, and the 3' end, to which the tRNAs corresponding amino acid is attached (by aminoacyl-tRNA synthetases). tRNAs cope with the degeneracy of the genetic code in two manners: having more than one tRNA (with a specific anti-codon) for a particular amino acid; and 'wobble' base-pairing, i.e. permitting non-standard base-pairing at the 3rd anti-codon position.
Source: Rfam by way of RNAcentral